This is a long non-coding RNA of Vigna unguiculata (cowpea), 1134 nucleotides long. Lineage: Eukaryota; Viridiplantae; Streptophyta; Magnoliopsida; Fabales; Fabaceae. The record is from RefSeq and is a predicted model, not a curated record.
UAACGCCCACAAACUCUCUUCUUUCCCGAAAACUCUUUUCGCAAACCUUCUACCGCCAAUCCUCAUAAGCUUCUCUCUUCUCGUUCAAAACAAUGUCUCCUCCUCGUCAGGAUAUUCUGACCUUCACCGACGACAGUGCUUCCGCCGUUCCCUCCUCUCCGAUGACGGUGCUUCAACCACCUCUCUAUUCUCUAACCUUCCCUCACUGUCAUUCACGCCUUCCAUCACGCAACCACCCACCCCUCUUGAUUUUUCGCAUCACCACCUAAUGCAAUCGAAGUCCCAAACCCAAGCUCACUCAGAACCCAGGCUCUUGCCAUUCCAACCGAUCUUGAGAAUCUCAUUCGAUUAUGAUGAAGACCUUGAACUUCUUAUGCGUAUUAUGAGGGGAGGAGAAGAAUAUAACUUUUAAUAGUUGUCAUGAGUGUGUAGGUGUUGGGGCUAUAAAGUGACUCCUAGGUUUGAUCAUAUAAACAAUAAGGGCUAAGCAUGUGCUAUGGAGUGCUGUAGCUGUUUUGGGUUCAUCAUGACACUUACCUGUCAAAGAAAAAUGUGUAAGCUUAAUAUUUUCUAAAACAAAUUAACUAGAAAGAUGUGAGACUGCUGGAAUAAGGUUGUGAUGAGAAUAUGGGAAGUAAAACAUAGUGUAGAAUAAUAUUCCAUGUGCAUGCAGUAUGGAACCUCAUUGAUUUUAUUCAAUGGAAAGUUAGAAACAAGGGAUGAAAGAGGGGGAGUUUAUAAAGGAAUUGGGGUCAUGGUUCAGUGGAGAUGAAUAAGGUUUUGAGGUAAGUACAGGUGGAGGAACUGCCAGGAGAGGAGUUAUGGGAAGGAGAAAUGCAAGUGGGGCUGGAGGGAAGGUGCAAGGAAAGGGAUGCAAGUGGUGUAGUUGCAAAGGGAGAGAGGAUGUAGGUGGUGGAGAAGAAGGGGAAGAGAAGCUGAGUGGUGUGGAGUGUAGCGUUUGGUGGUGGAGAAUGAAUGGAGACAGGGACUCUGAAAUUGUUGAAGGUUGGAGGAAAUUACCAAAUAAAAAAGAAGAUACGUUUAAGUAGGAAAAUAAUAAAAGUUAACUUACGACUUUAAGCAUUAAUAUGAAGUUUUGUAGUCGGUUUUUUUAUUGAUUAUUUAUUUGUACCA